Molecule: ribosomal RNA, 372 nt
Filed under: Triticum aestivum (bread wheat)
Lineage: Eukaryota; Viridiplantae; Streptophyta; Magnoliopsida; Poales; Poaceae
Description: partial small subunit ribosomal RNA
Source: RNAcentral
AUGCGUCAACUGAAGCUCGUGCGCUACAUGAGGGCUCAAAACGACAACUGGUUCGCGGAAUACCUCCUACGCAUUGGAAACGGAACAGAGGAGACAAAUGAAGAUGGUGAAAUACUACUACCAACAAGUAUAUGUGUGGCAAAUAAGACAGAUGAUAAUGGCCUGGAUAUGCUCAUCGACAGUGUCUACCAAAUGGACAAUGCUUGCUUAAAAGAUCCAAAGUACAUCACGUCAAGAUCCAUUCUAUCAACAAGGAAUGACUCAGUAGACAAGAUCAACCUAAAAAUGAUUGAUCGCUUCCAAGGGGAGGAGAUGGUGUACCACAACUUCGAUUCCGUAGAAGACGACCCACAUAAAUACUAUCCACCAUAA